This 301-nucleotide ribosomal RNA is filed under the name uncultured bacterium. Its description in RNAcentral is "partial 16S ribosomal RNA". It matches the Rfam family "Bacterial small subunit ribosomal RNA", at positions 509 to 809 of the family's 1533-position model. The record is from RNAcentral.
CAGUAGCCGCGGGAAAACGUAGGGUGCAAGCGUUAAUCGGAAUUACUGGGCGUAAAGCGUGCGCAGGCGGUUAUAUAAGACAGAUGUGAAAUCCCCGGGCUCAACCUGGGAACUGCAUUUGUGACUGUAUAGCUAGAGUACGGCAGAGGGGGAUGGAAUUCCGCGUGUAGCAGUGAAAUGCGUAGAUAUGCGGAGGAACACCGAUGGCGAAGGCAAUCCCCUGGGCCUGUACUGACGCUCAUGCACGAAAGCGUGGGGAGCAAACAGGAUUAGAGACCCGAGUAGUCCCUGUCUCUUAUAA